Molecule: ribosomal RNA, 580 nt
Filed under: Duvalius doderoi
Lineage: Eukaryota; Metazoa; Arthropoda; Insecta; Coleoptera; Carabidae
Description: partial 16S ribosomal RNA
Rfam family: Bacterial large subunit ribosomal RNA (bases 339-497)
Source: RNAcentral
AAUGGCUGCAGUAAUAUAACUGUACAAAGGUAGCAUAAUCAUUAGUUUUUUAAUUAAAAGCUUGUAUGAAAGGUUGGACGAAGUAAAAUCUGUCUCUUUUUAAUAUAAUUAGAAUUUAAUUUUUAAGUAAAAAAGCUUAAAUUUAUAUAAAAGACGAGAAGACCCUAUAGAGUUUAAUAAUUAAUUUUAAAUAAUUAAUUUAGAUUUAUUUAUUUUAUUUAUUUUAUAAUUAUUUUAUUGGGGUAAUAGAAAGAUUUAUAUAAUUCUUUUUUUUAUUUUACAUUAAUAUAUGAAUUAAAUGAUCCAUUUUUAUGAUUAUAAGAUUAAAUUACCUUAGGGAUAACAGCGUAAUUUUUUUAAAGAGUUCAUAUCGAUAAAAAAGUUUGCGACCUCGAUGUUGGAUUAAAGAUUAAUUUAGGUGUAGAAGUUUAAAUUUUUGGUCUGUUCGACCAUUAAAUCUUUACAUGAUCUGAGUUCAAACCGGUGUAAGCCAGGUUGGUUUCUAUCUUUAUAAAAUUUUUAUAUUUUAGUACGAAAGGACCAAAUAUUUAAUAUAUAAAUAUUUAAUUAUUUUGAAUAU